This 496-nucleotide ribosomal RNA is filed under the name uncultured bacterium. Its description in RNAcentral is "partial 16S ribosomal RNA". It matches the Rfam family "Bacterial small subunit ribosomal RNA", at positions 28 to 506 of the family's 1533-position model. The record is from RNAcentral.
GAUGAACGCUGGCGGCGUGCCUAAUACAUGCAAGUCGAGCGAACAGACGAGGAGCUUGCUCCUCUAACGUUAGCGGCGGACGGGUGAGUAACACGUGGAUAACCUACCUAUAAGACUGGGAUAACUUCGGGAAACCGGAGCUAAUACCGGAUAAUAUAUUGAACCGCAUGGUUCAAUAGUGAAAGACGGUUUUGCUGUCACUUAUAGAUGGAUCCGCGCCGCAUUAGCUAGUUGGUAAGGUAACAGCUUACCAAGGCAACGAUGCGUAGCCGACCUGAGAGGGUGAUCGGCCACACUGGAACUGAGACACGGUCCAGACUCCUACGGGAGGCAGCAGUAGGGAAUCUUCCGCAAUGGGCGAAAGCCUGACGGAGCAACGCCGCGUGAGUGAUGAAGGUCUUCGGAUCGUAAAACUCUGUUAUUAGGGAAGAACAAAUGUGUAAGUAACUAUGCACGUCUUGACGGUACCGAAUCAGAAAGCCACGGCUAACUACGU